AACCCCGGGAAACCGGAGCUAAUACCGGAUACGACGCGCCCCUGCAUGGGGAGUGCGUGGAAAGUUUUUCGGUCUGGGAUGGACUCGCGGCCUAUCAGCUUGUUGGUGAGGUAAUGGCUCACCAAGGCGACGACGGGUAGCCGGCCUGAGAGGGCGACCGGCCACACUGGGACUGAGACACGGCCCAGACUCCUACGGGAGGCAGCAGUGGGGAAUAUUGCACAAUGGGCGAAAGCCUGAUGCAGCGACGCCGCGUGAGGGAUGACGGCCUUCGGGUUGUAAACCUCUUUCAGCAGGGAAGAAGCGAAAGUGACGGUACCUGCAGAAGAAGCACCGGCUAACUACGUGCCAGCAGCCGCGGUAAUACGUAGGGUGCGAGCGUUGUCCGGAAUUAUUGGGCGUAAAGAGCUUGUAGGUGGUU
This 421-nucleotide ribosomal RNA is filed under the name Terrabacter terrigena. RNAcentral describes it as "bacterial SSU rRNA". It matches the Rfam family "Bacterial small subunit ribosomal RNA", at positions 145 to 580 of the family's 1533-position model. The record is from RNAcentral. Lineage: Bacteria; Bacillati; Actinomycetota; Actinomycetes; Micrococcales; Intrasporangiaceae.